Molecule: ribosomal RNA, 483 nt
Filed under: uncultured bacterium
Lineage: Bacteria
Description: SSU rRNA
Rfam family: Bacterial small subunit ribosomal RNA
Source: RNAcentral
AGGACGAACGCUGGCGGCGUGCUUAACACAUGCAAGUCGAACGGUAAGGCCCCUUCGGGGGUACACGAGUGGCGAACGGGUGAGUAACACGUGAGCAACCUGCCCUUGACAUUGGAAUAACAGUUGGAAACAGCUGCUAAUACCGGGUAUGACCUGUCACCGCAUGGUGGUGGGUGGAAAGCCUUGGCGGUCAGGGAUGGGCUCGCGGCCUAUCAGCUAGUUGGUGAGGUAAUGGCUCACCAAGGCUUCGACGGGUAGCCGGCCUGAGAGGGCGACCGGCCACACUGGGACUGAGAUACGGCCCAGACUCCUACGGGAGGCAGCAGUGGGGAAUAUUGCACAAUGGGCGGAAGCCUGAUGCAGCAACGCCGCGUGCGGGAUGACGGCCUUCGGGUUGUAAACCGCUUUCAGUGGGGACGAAGCUAACGUGACGGUACCUACGAGAAGAAGCACCGGCCAACUACGUGCCAGCAGCCGCGGUAA